This 485-nucleotide ribosomal RNA is filed under the name uncultured bacterium. RNAcentral describes it as "bacterial SSU rRNA". It matches the Rfam family "Bacterial small subunit ribosomal RNA", at positions 28 to 507 of the family's 1533-position model. The record is from RNAcentral.
GAUGAACGCUAGCGGCAGGCCUAACACAUGCAAGUCAGGGGUAACAUAGGAAAGCUUGCUUUUCUGAUGACGACCGGCGCACGGGUGCGUAACGCGUAUACAACCUACCUUUUAGCGGGGAAUAGCCCAGGGAAACUUGGAUUAAUGCCCCAUAGUAUAUAGACUUCUCCCGAAGUUUAUAUUAAACAUUUAUGGCUAUUAGAUGGGUAUGCGUCCUAUUAGUUAGUUGGUAAGGUAACGGCUUACCAAGGCAGCGAUAGGUAGGGGUCCUGAGAGGGAGAUCCCCACACUGGUACUGAGACACGGACCAGACUCCUACGGGAGGCAGCAGUGAGGAAUAUUGGACAAUGGGCGAGAGCCUGAUCCAGCCAUGCCGCGUGCAGGAAGACUGCCCUAUGGGUUGUAAACUGCUUUUACAGAGGAAGAACCACCCCACGUGUGGGGGUUUGACGGUACUCUGCGAAUAAGGAUCGGCUAACUCCGUG